GUAGGUGGCAAGCGUUGUCCGGAAUUAUUGGGCGUAAAGCGCGCGCAGGCGGUUCUUUAAGUCUGAUGUGAAAGCCCACGGGCUCAACCGUGGAGGGUCAUUGGAAACUGGAGAACUUGAGUACAGAAGAGGAAAGCGGAGUUCCACGUGUAGCGGUGAAAUGCGUAGAGAUGUGGAGGAACACCAGUGGCGAAGGCGGCUUUCUGGUCUGUAACUGACGCUGAGGCGCGAAAGCGUGGGGAGCAAACAGGAUUAGAUACCCUGGUAGUCCACGCCGCAAACGAUGAGUGCUAAGUGUUAGGGGGUUUCCGCCCCUUAGUGCUGCAGCUAACGCAUUAAGCACUCCGCCUGGGGAGUACGGCCGCAAGGCUG
RNAcentral lists this ribosomal RNA (372 nucleotides) under uncultured organism. Its description in RNAcentral is "partial 16S ribosomal RNA". It matches the Rfam family "Bacterial small subunit ribosomal RNA", at positions 527 to 896 of the family's 1533-position model. The record is from RNAcentral.